CCUACGGGAGGCAGCAGUGGGGAAUAUUGCACAAUGGGGGAAACCCUGAUGCAGCAACGCCGCGUGAAGGAAGACGGUUUUCGGAUUGUAAACUUCUGUUCUUAGUGAAGAAUAAUGACGGUAGCUAAGGGGCAAGCCACGGCUAACUACGUGCCAGCAGCGGCGGUAAUACGUAGGUGGCCAGCGUUGUACGGAAUUACUGGGUGUAAAGGGAGCGCAGGCGGGAAGCCAAGUGCGCUGUGAAAACUACGGGUUUAACGUGUAGACUGCAGUUGAAACUGGUUGUCUUGAGUGAAUGAGAGGUUGGCGGAAUUCGGGGUGUAGCGGUGAAAUGCGUAGAUAUUCGGAGGAACACCGGUGGCGAAGGCGGCCAACUGGGCUUUAACUGACGCUGAGGCUCGAAAGUGUGGGGAGCAAACAGGAUUAGAUACCCGAGUAGUC
Molecule: ribosomal RNA, 441 nt
Filed under: uncultured bacterium
Lineage: Bacteria
Description: partial 16S ribosomal RNA
Rfam family: Bacterial small subunit ribosomal RNA
Source: RNAcentral